This is a long non-coding RNA of Ictalurus furcatus (blue catfish), 2553 nucleotides long. RefSeq lists it as uncharacterized. The transcript is spliced from 9 exons. Lineage: Eukaryota; Metazoa; Chordata; Actinopteri; Siluriformes; Ictaluridae. The record is from RefSeq and is a predicted model, not a curated record.
UCAUGUGUCAAAAUUAAUGCAAGUUAAUGCAGUGGCUAAAGGACGUGAUGUUAUUUUUUUAAAGAAAAAAAUUAUUUUGAACUCCAUGCCCAAGAGGGUUAAGGCAGUGCCUCGAAAAAUGGACUUGUUAAUUUGCCUGGCCAUAUAUUUUGUUUUAUAUAUAUAUGUCAGUAAAUGCUUCUUUCUGGGUUGUUUUUAAGAGAUAUGUAUAUGUAAACAUUUCAUUUUUCCCUACAGUUUGGGGUCCACCGUAUCACAGCACCUCUCUGGGGCAGUCUUUUGUUCACCUUGAUGGCCCGUUAAAGAAUGGGCCAUCAGGUAUCCAGCCGACGGAGCUGAAAUUCCAGAAGGCAUAUCCCUCCAGACCUCAACCCAGCUUUGUUUUACCCGUCAACGAAUUGGUGAUUGGUCACCUGAUGCCUCAGAAUAGGUGGGCAUGUCUAAUGUUUGGGCAUAAAUACAGAGGCUACAUUCAAGGUAGUUUACUCUGUUUUGGAUAAGGAUAGAUAUUCUGUUCCUGCAUUUGCUUUGAUACUGCUUUAAGAAUGGCUCCAAACAGUUUGCUGAACGCAACAUUGUCCACUGCUUGCAGUGCAAGAAGCCACAGAAACAUCUUGCUAGCCACCUGGCUAGAGUGUGUAUGAAAGUCAGCACAGCAGAAGAAAGGCAAGCUGAGAUCCAGAAGGCCAAGGUAUCUUCCAGACAGUGGGUCUGGAGGAACAGGACCUGGGAUUACCUCCAGCUUUGUUCUUUCCUGCCCCACAGUCCGUGUGCUUAUUUACUGGUGCAAGAGGCGCUGGUUCUUUAUCACCAACAUGCCACAAGAGUCAGACAUUGCCAUGGACUCAGGUGAUGCCACCUCCUCACAACAGGGUUCGAUUUCUGAUCAGAGAUAUGAUGACAGUGUUCGCACACUGACACAGUAACAGGCCAUGUUGGCGGUAGCCAGGAACGACUUCCUGAAAAUCUUUCGGAAGCUCAUCUCAAGCACAGAGGUCCUCUCGACAGAGGAGACCAGCUAUCGAGGCCACUGCACGGCAUUUUUGGUGUUACGUCACUUUCAGUGCCUGGCAGCAGUGCAAGGCCUGACCUGUCAGAGUGGGUCAACAGGAAGGAAGUUGACGACAGGGUGGUGAUUGGCUUUGGCCGAGAUGAAACGAUGCAGCAAGCUGCCCGUUUUGCCUCGACAAAGGAGGAGGAAGCUUGGUUGCAGGCAUAUUACUCACACAUCCGGCCAAGAGUGAUCAGGAGUGACCUGAACUGUGACACGUUCUUCUUUUCGUCAGCUGGCACUGCUUUGCUCAGUUUCGAAUGACCUCGGUGUGCUCCACAAUUAUUUAUGAAAAAAGCUGGAGUGUGGGCACACUCGAAAACUUUAAGAGCCACCAGUCGUCAGGCGAGGAGUGCUUUAGAGACAGCAGCGGCUAACCUGACGAACACGGAGAAGGAGGCCGUGUCCUCUUACCUGGCCUAGAACACUUCUGUGGCCAAACUGCGCAGAGCACCUACACCACAGACUGUAGUGGCCACGGCUACACUGCUGGAUGCCUUGGCAGGGAAGGGUUCAUCAUCUUAAACAUACCUUCUUUCCUUUUACAGCUCUGCCACCAACCGGUUUUCCGGUCCAUCGGGCACAAAGUCUUCGGACUUUUCAGACUUUUUAAAGACGUUCCUGGCAUCAGCACACAGCAAAGCACCCACCAAACAGGACAGGUUAAAGGCAGGCUUUCCGGGCGAUCGUGUCUUCUACGACAAGUGGCGUGCCUCCCAAAAGGCCAAAAGAAUGGAAUGGCUGCUGGGCCUUUACCCGAAAACCCCCAAAAAGCAGGGUGAAAUGCAUGAUUCUGAAGGAGGGGUGGAAGAGUAACUGUCCAAAGCCAGCGGACGUUUUCGCGGCAUGGAAACCAGCCACCAAACUUGUCAUUGAGACUGAUGAGGACAGGAAUGUGUCUCAGCAGACGUGGAAAGGCCUGGCCAUCAAAGAUUUUGGUGGAGAGAAAGGGCUAGGAGUUGUUGCAACCCAACCCUUUUCCAAGGGUGACAUCUUGUGUGAUUACCAUGGAAAGGUAAUCACAUAUGCCCAGGGAAAAGUCAUGAUGCAGAAUCUACAGGAUGAAGCAGGGUACCUGUUUUUCUUCAGGACCGGGCAGAGGCAUAUCUGCAUCAACGCCCAGACUUUUCCCUGUGAAUGCCACCCCUGUGCAGACACUGUGGGCAGAAGAGUGAAUCAUUCAUCCAAGCAAGCCAACCUGUGUCCAGAACCUUUCGUUUUGAAGGUGAAUGGACAGGACGUGGAUGUCAUCCUCUUCAGAGCCCUGCAGGACAUCAGUGUGGACACCGAACUGAAAUUUGACUAUGGUGUAAAAAGGAAGUCCUUCCGAGGAGAGGGCCAGGGUCUGCUAUGGCUAGAUGAGUAGCAUAGCACAUCAUCAGUUGAGCAACCUCAGUCAAAUGGGGUUCUGAUCCCUAUGUUGUAAACAAUGUAAAUAUUUGAAAAGCCUAGUUCUGUGUAGACUAUUACUAAUUUUUUUUUUCCAUCCACUUUUGCAAAAU